AGUGCGCAGGCGUCAGACGCUCAGGGCCUGCGAGAGCGAGCUGAGUGGUCCCAGGGUCUACCCCUGGCAGGAGAGAGGGUGGGACCCGCCGGCCAGGCAGGAGGUGACAGACACAUUCUGGUUUCAAAUUGAACAGCAUGCAUUGAUCUUGAGCCGCAUCUGUGUGAUUCUGGGUCACUACUUUUGGCUUUUGAAUAGUUACGAUGAGUGCUUGCAAGAAAAAGGAAGCUAUCACUUAAAAGUAAAAAACAGUUGUUCACCUGAGAUGAAUAGAUUCCAUGUGGAUGGGCUUCUUGUAUAUUAAACUUAUGACAUUUUAUAUGUGUUGAUAUGUGAUUUUUUUAAAAAAAGUAUAGGCAGCUUUUCAGAUUCACAAAGAGGUACUUUAAGCUAAAAAAGGUUAAGACCAUCAGAAACGUAGACUGCAGGAACUGAGAAGGAUUUGUUAGAAUACUAUGUGAUAUAAUUAGUAUAAAAAUAGUAUAUAUUUUAUAGAGGGAUACACACAAAACUCCUGCUAAUGGUAACCUUUAGGGAGAGAAGAGAGGAUUUAGGGUAAAGGGGGAGAAGUAAAUGUCAAAGGGAACUUAAGCAUUAUAGGUCAUUUCUCUCCCUCUCUCUCUGUUUUUGUUUGUUUGUUUGUUUUUGUUUUUGUUUUUGUUUUGAGACAGAGUCUCACUCUGUCGCCCGGGCUGGAGUGCAGUGGUGCGCUCUCAGCUCACUGCAACCUCCGCUUCCCGGGUUCAAGUGAUUCUCCUGCCUCAGCCUCCCGAGUAGCUGGGAUUACAGGCGCCUGCCACUACGCCCAGCUAAUUUUUUGUAUUUUUAGUGGAGACAGGGUUUCACCAUUUUAGCCAGGCUGGUCUCGAACUCCUGACCUCGUGAUUUGCCCACCUUGGCCUCCCAAAGUGCUGGGAUGACAGACGUGAGCUACCGCGCCCGGCCUCUCUCUCUCUUUUAGCAAGGUAGCAUCACUCAUAUAUUUAAAAUUUAAUUUUAAAAUAUAAAAGUCAAUAGAGACGUUGGUUUUGGAGCAAGGAAGUGAGCCAAGGAACCUAAACUGUGGAAGCAGACAAAAUCCAGAAAAACUUACACCUUAGGAAGACUGCAGAGAGAAGGGAAUAGUAAGGCAACAAGUUUUCAUAGGCCUGAGGUGUCUUGUUUGUUUAUGAAAUGCCAGUUUCAUAUUUAUGUCCUUAUAACCCAUUUUGACCUUGCUGACCUUUAAGGAUUAGUUAUCUCUUCAGCCCAGUUACUGGAUUCAGCUCCGUUAUAGUGUCUGACCCUGGACAGCAUUGGUAAGUAUGUUCUCUUUCCUGGCACUGGAUUAUUUUCUUUGAGAGUCUUUGUUGAUGUUGGCAAAUGAUUUUGAACUUCUUCCAACAGAUUAGGUUUAUGCCAGUACGUAUGAGUCUAGCAUUUAAUCAGCAAUCCCAAAAAAGUAUCUGAGGCACUCUGAUAUAAUUACUUUUCCCUAAGUGUUUAUUUUGAAAAAUGUUAAAGCUACAGGAAAAUUAAAAGAAUAAUGAUUUGCACUGUGUAUCCUUUACUUAGAUUCACCAGUUUUUAACAUUUUGGACCAUUUGCUUAAUCUCUGUCUGCAUGUAUUUACAUAUUUUUGUUUAUUUUUUGUUCACCAUUUAUGGGUAAGCUGCAGAUAUUAUAUAUUUCACCAUUGAGGAUUUCAGCACGCAUCUCGAAGAACAAGGUUGUUCUCCUGCAUAACCUCGAUAUCAUGAAUAUACAUAUAAAUUUUAACAAUGAUUCAUAAUAUUAUCUAAUAUAUAGUCCACAUUUAAAUUGCCCUAGUGUUUCCCAAAUGUCUGAUAUGUGUAUUUAAAAUAUCCAUCCUGGUCCCAAUUAAGGUCACACAUUACAGUAGGUGGGCCUAUCUUUUUAAUUUCUUUAAUCUAGAACAGCAUUCCCCCAGCCUGUUUUUGUAUUUCAUGACAUUUUUUAAGAGUUGAAGGGUCCAGAAUAUUUGUCUUGUAGAAUGCCUAACAUUCUGGAUUUGUUUGAUUGCUCUGUCAUAAUUAGGUUAAGUUUAAAUAUAUUUGGCAAGAAAACUAUGAAUGCUGGUGUGUUCUUCCUAUUGCAUCAUAUUAAGUGACACAUAAUUUCAGUUUGAUCCAUUACCAAUGAUACUAAAUUUUAUUACUUUGGUUCAAGGAGAUGUGCACCUGAUUUCUUCAUGGUAAAAAAAUACCUUUUUUUCUUUGAGGCUAAGAAGUAAUCUGAUGGGGAUAUUUUGAAACCAUUUCCCAAAUAGCCUUUUACCUGAUGGUUUUAAUAAUCAUUAAUGAUUCUUGUCUAAAUCAGUUAUUAAGUUAGGAGUUGCAAAAUGGUGAUUUUUAAUUUUACCAUUCCUUCUUGUAUAUAAAAGAGCUUUGCCUUUCCACCCUUUCCCUCUAUACCUCUUUAUUUUUUCUCUUUUGAAUAUCACUAUGGCUCAUGGAUUUUUAUUUUUUGUCCAAAGUACUUUAGCCUGUUAUCAUCCUCUGUGUUGCUCAAAUUGUUCCAAAUUGGCCUGUAAGAACCCCUGACGCUGGUGCCCGUGUCCCCAUUUGUCUUUGAGCACUUCCUUACUUUUUGACACAGGUAUUUCUUUUUUUUCCUUUUUCUUUCUUUCUUUUCUUUUCUUUUUUUUUUUUUUUCUUUUUUCAGGCAGAGUCUCGCUCUGUCGCCAAGACUGCAGUACAGUGGCAUGAUCUCGGCUCGGCUCACUGCAACCUCCACCUCCCGGGUCAGGCAGUUCUCCUGUCUCAGCCUCCCAAGUAGCUGGGAUUAGAGGCACCUGUCACCAUGCCCGGCUAAUUUUUUUAUAUUUUUAGUAGAGACAGGGUUUCACCAUGUUGGCCAGGCUGGCCUCAAACUCCUGAUCUCAAGUGAUCCACCCGCCUAGGCCUCCCAAAGUGUUGGGAUUACAGGUGUGAACCACCACGCCCAACCUGGCACAGAUAUUUCGUACUUAUAUUGUGCAUUCCCUGUCCCAGACUUGGAAUUAGCCACUUUGUGAGGAGAAUUUUUGAGAUGAUCUUUUCAAUGUAUAUUCUCAACAAAGAAAUAGUUAAGUAAUUUAUAGUACACAGGGAGCAGAAUGUUAUGCAUCCAAUAAACUUAGGAUUAUAAAUUUUAAAUUAACAAAAUGAAUCUUAAAAUUUUACGCAGUAUUAUGUCAGUGACAUUUUUCUUUUUUAAAGAGAUGGGGUCUCGCUCUGUCACCCAGGCUGGAGUGCAGUGGUGUAAUCAUGGCUCAUGGUAACCUUGAACUCCUAGGGUCAAGUCAACCUCCCUCAGCCUCCCAAAGUACUGGGAUUAUAAGCAUGAGCCACCCUGGCCAGCCCUAGGAAAAGAAAACUUUUAAAACCACCAGUGGUAUCACAAUCAAAAGAUAAACACAUAUCUUUUCAAAUGCCAUUAAAUAUUUGUACAGUCAUAUCAAAAACAUCACUUACUACAUACUAUUUUGUAAUCUGUUUUUUUCAUGUUUUAAAACAAAAUAUUGCAAUAAAAUGCAUAUACCUUUUAAAUGUUCAUAAUAUUUAAAAAGACAUCAUUAGUAUUUUGAAAUAAUGACAGAAAACAUUUUGAAUAUUACAAAAUUAAAAUUUGUUAAUAUGAUGUAUUUUAAUUGGAACAUAUUAAAGAUUACAUAGUGUCUAUUGAUCAUCAUAAUCCUUUUUAACCAUUCUACUGUUGUUGGAUUGAGAAUCCUGAAAUAUAUAUGAAUAGUUCCUCAUUCACAAUGGCCAUCUAUGUCAUGAAUCUUGACCCUGGCUUUGUGUGAUUAACAAUUUUUCAUUGCAGUGGCCAGUGACCUUCAAGACUUUUCCUAAAAGGAGUAGAGAUAACUGAAUUCAGAGAGAUUAUUUACAGAUUUUAUAUUGGAAACUAGAAGAAUCUAUCUGGCUAGGGAAGGACAUCUUCUCCCCCAAAUUAAAAUUUACAAUCUGGAGUAUCUUCUUCCUUUGUGAAUCCUGUGGAUUCUGUGUGCUUGCCUGAAUUUUUGUCCCUUGUUCUCAGAAAAUAAUUAGAGCUUUGCAGAAUCGUGUGGAGGCAACUCUGAUUGUAGCUUUCUUUAGCCCUUCCUAGGAUGGCCUUGCUUCCCUGACAACCAUGGAAAUGGGUCUUAAUUCCACAGCCAGAGUCUGACCAAUUUCUUAUCUUUUACGAUAUGCAAGAUGGUUUCUAAGUUUUUAAGCCCAUUAUAAUUUCCUUAUCAGAUAAUGGGAAAGAAAGAUAUGGUUAAAAAAGAAAUGAAAGAGUCUUGGUGAGGGAGGAAGAAUCAGGUAGAAUGAAACCGUUGGUUUUUCAAGCCCAGUUUUUCAGUCAACAGAAAUCAUAUUUUACAAUGUUAUUCGAGUAUUUGCCUUAGAGGCUCCAGUCCAUUGGAGGAAAUUGAGUCUACUUUAUUAUGACCUACCAAAAGAAUUUAACCUUCACCCUGUCUUUUAAUUAAAUUCGUAUGUUUCAAAGAUAGUUUCUAUUAAAUAUAGAGUAGAUACAAAAUAAUAUUUAUGAAGUAUAUGUAUUUUUUUAAUUCUCAAUACAGCAAAAACCUGUGUACCAACUACCUUUUUUAAGAAAGAAAAUAUUUAUUUUUUUGAGAUGGAGUCUCACUCUGUUGCCCAGGCUGGAGUGCAGUGGCAGGAUCUCAGCUCACUGCAACCUCCGCCUCUUGGGUUCAAGCGAUUCUCCUGCCUCAGCCUCCCGAGUAGCUGGGACUACAGGUGCGCACCACCAUGCCCAGCUAAUUUUUGUAUUUUCAGUAGAGAUGGGGUUUCACCUUGUUGGCCAGGCUGGUAUCGAACUCCUGACCUCAGGUGAUCCACCUGCCUCGGCCUCCCAAAGUGUUGAGAUUACAGGCGUGAGCCACCACGCCCAGCCAAAAGAAAAUAUUAACUACUAACUUUGAAGACUCCUAGACAUCUAUUCCCAUUUCUAUCCCCUUUUCCUUCAGACAUAACAAUUAUCCUGAGAUUUAUGUUUAUAAUUCUCUUGCUUUUCUUUAUAGUUUCAGCUACUUACUCCAAAACUAUGUUGUUUAUGGAUGUUUUUGAGUUUUAUAUAACUAUUUCAUAUAUCAUUCUGUGACUCGCUUUUUUGUCAACAUUAUGUUCCUGAGAUUAAGUAGUGUAGCUAUAAUCCAUUCAUUUUUAUGGUACAGUAUUCCAUUGCUUGACUAUAUUACAGUUUUUAAAAUCCAUUCUCAGUUGAUAGAAAUGUGAGUUGCUUCAAAGUUUGAAUUUAUAGUUCUAUUACGAACAUUCUUGUACAUGUUUACUGAUGGACAUGCAGAGGCUGUUCUAGGGCAAGGGUCAUCAAACUUUCUUGUGCAAAGGGACAUAUAGGAAAUAUUUUAGGCUUUGCGGGCCAUACAGUUUCUGUCACAACUACUCAACUCUGCCAUUGUAUCAUGAAAUCACAGCCAUAGACAAUAUGUAAAAGAACGAGUGUGUUCUAGUGAAACUUUAUGCCAAGGCAGGAUCUAGCCUGUGGGCCAUAGUUUGCUAAGCCCUGUUCUAGGAUAUAUAUGAAGAAUAUAUUACUGAACACAGAGUACAUAUACCAUGCAAAUAUUCUCAACUUUACUAGGCAAUAUGCAAUAUUUUCCAAAGGGGAUUUUCCAAUGUAUACUCUUUACUAACAUUUGAAAUGCUCAGAAUUUUAAGUUCAGGUGAUUCUGGUAGAUGUAUAUGCAGUAGAAUCUCAUUUUGGUUUUAAUUUGCAUUUCUCUGCUUACUAAUAAGGUUAAGAUUUUAAAGACUUGUUUAUUGGCCCUUCCUCUUCUGUGAAAUGCCUACUGAAACCCUUUGCUCAAUUUCUUUGGGUUGUCUUUUUAUUAUUAUAGGACUUUGUAAAAAUAUUUUGGAUGUUUAUUCUGUAUCAACUAUAUGUGUUGAAAAUAUCCCAGUUUAUAGCUUGUCUUUGUUUACAAUAGGGAUCUUUUAACAAAUAGAAAUUCUCUGUUUUAAUGUCAGAUUUAUGAAUUUUUUUCUCUAUGGCUUGUACUUUCUUGCAUUUUAAGAAAUCCUUCUCUAUAUCAAAGUCAUAAAUUUAGCUUCAUAUAUUAUCUUCUUAAAGGUUUAUAGUUUUGCCUUUCACAAUUUUUUUUAUAAAAUCUCUUAGAAUUCAUCUCUGUAGUAAGUUAAAGGAGAGAUACAAUUUCUGUGUUAUGUAUGUGUGCAUAUACCAGUUGUCCCAGAAUAUGCAAAGACCAACUUUUUCACUUAUCAGUAGUCAUAAAUUGGAUUAUUAUAUGUGUAUGGGACAUACAACACAUAUGUAUGUGUCACAUAUGUUGGGAAUUCAUUAUUCAAUUAUAUUGGUCAAUUUGUUCCCUGUGCUAUUUCCAUGCUGUAGCAGUUUUAUAAUAAUUUUUGGGAUAUAACACAAAAAUCUAUUUGAGACUUUAUUAAUCCUCUCCAUAAUAUAACUAUUUUUCUAUUUCUUGUAUUGUUUUGGUCUUUAUUAUUUCCUUGCUUUCACUUUCCUUGGAUUUAUUCUGCCAUUGUUUUCUCACAUUUUUAAGCUGGAUGCUAGAUAUUAUCAAUUUUUACACUUCUAAUAUAAACUGGUAAGGUUAUAACUUUUCCUCGAGGUCCAACUUUAGCUGCAUCCUACAGAAUUUUAUAUACAGUCAGUCUCCAACUUACAAUGGUUCUAUGAUUUUUUUAACUUUAUGAUGGUGUAAAAGCCAUAUGGAUUCAGUAGAAACGUAUUUCAAAUAUCCAUACGACAAUACUGUUUUUCACUUUUAGUUCAGUAUUCAAUAAAUUAAGACAUUCAGCACUUAAUUAUAAAAUAGGGUUUGUGUUAGAUGAUUUCAUCUAACUGGUAGGUAAUAUAAGUGUUCUGAUCAUGUUUAAAGUAGGUUAUGCUAAGCUGUCAUGCUUGGUAGGUUAGGUAAAAGCAUUUUUGACUUAAUGAUAUUUUCAACUUGUGAUGGGUUUAUUAGGGCAUAACCCCAUUGAGUCCAGGAGCAUCAGUAUAUUAAGUAGUAAUCUCAUCAUUCAGUUUUAAAUACUUUUAAAUUUCUACUAUGAUUUCUUUUAACCAUAAAUAAUUUAGAAUUAUAUUUCUUAACUAUAUAGGUCUUUCUAAUUUUCCUUUGAUGACAUAUAUCAAACAUAGCUACUUUUGUGGGCAGUGAAAGUACGGUAUAUAAAACUAGUCCUUUGAAAGUUUUCGAGAUUUGCCCGAUAGGCUAAUACGUGUCUAAGUUUUCUAAAUAUUCAGUGUGUCUUUGAUGAGAAUUUGUCUUUUGCAGCUAUUGUGUAUAAUAGUAACUGUUUUAAAAAUACAUAGCCAUUAAAUAAAGUUGUAAUUUUUGUUGAAAUCUAUAAUCUUACUGAUUGUAUCUCUUUUAUCUAUCAUUUACUAAAAGAACUAUGUAUAAUAUCUCGCCAUAUCUGUAAGGUUAUUUUUCCUUGUAGUUUCAUUAAUUUUUGGUUUAUAGUGUGUAUUUUUAGUAACUUAAGCUUGCAAUUUUUAUAUCUUCAUGGAAAAUUGAACAUUUCAUCAUGAUGCAGUUAGUGAUCACUUUAUAAUAAUGCUCUAGUCUGUUUUAUCUGACACUAAUAUCACAACACUAGCUUUCAUUUGAUUAGUAUUUUCCAAAUGUUUUUUCUGUUCUUCAUUUUCAGUCUUUCUAUAUGCUUCCCUUAAUAUACUUCUUGAAAACAGAUUUUAGUUACAUUUUACUUAUUUAUCCAAUCAGAGAUGUACUGGCAUAUUUUUAUUUAUUUAUUUAUUUAUUUAUUUUGAGACAGAGUUUCACUCUUGUUGCCCAGGCUGGAGUGCAAUGGCACAAUCUUGGCUCACCACAACCUCUGCCUCCUGGGUUCAAGCAAUUCUCCUGCCUCAGCCUCCCGAGUAGCUGGGAUUACAGGAGUCCACCAUCACGCCUAGCUAAUUUUUGUAUUUUUAGUAGAGACAGGGUUUCUCCAUGUUGGUCAGGCUGGUCUUGAACUGCUGACCUCAGGUGAUCCGCCCGCCUCAGCCUCCCAAAGUGCUGGGAUUACAGGCAUGAGCCACCGCGCCCGGCCAUUUGUAUUUAUUUCUAUGAUUUUAUUUUGUGAUGUGAUGUAUAUGUAACUUUAAUGUUUCAUUUCUUUCCUUUAUUCUUUCUUCAGUUUGGUUCCCCCUCCCCAACCUUUUCUGCUACUCUUUGGGGUAAUAUGCAUUCUAUUUAUAUUAUUUUAGUACUUUUGCAAAAUAUUUAACAGGACAUACUUAAGUUAUCAAUGUGUGAACAAAACAUUUUUCCUGCCCAGCAAAAUAAUGAUGUUAGAAUACUUUAGCACCAAGCAUUGUUUCUACCAACCUACAUGCUAUCUUUGUGGUAUAAUCUGGUUAUAUAUCUAUAUGUAUGUGUGUGUGUAAGUGUAUAUAUAUAUAUACACACACACACUAAUAUAUAUUUUAAAAAUACCACAGCAAUAGCUUUUAAGUUGGUAGAAGUGAUUAGUGUUGAAGUAUGCCAAUGUCAUUGGCAGGAAAUAAAAAUACUAUUUAGACUUUGAUAACUUAAGUAUAUCCUGCUAAAUUAUAUUGUAAACAUAAGCACCAAAAUAAUGUACACACACAUAUGGAGACAUUAUUAUGUUUUAUGAGCUGAGUGUUUGAUUACACACCAGUUUACUGCUUUCUUUGCUUACCUCUCCUUCUUGCAUCACUUUUCUUCUACCUGAAGUGCAUCUAUCACAGUUUUCUUCAGUGAGGAUCUAUUGUUGAAAACUUCUGUCUUUAUUUGUCUAAAAACUUCUAAUUCUUGAAAGAUAUUUUUGCUGAAUGUAGAAUUAUAAGUUGAUAGUUUUGUAUUUUCACCAUUUUAUGAAAAUUUCCAAACAUGUAGAAAUUAAAAGAAUUGUACAAAAAUACCCAUACAUUCGCUAUCUAAGUACUAUAAUGAAUAUCAUGCUGUAUUUGCUUUACCAAAUAAUUAGCCUUGUAUCCAGCCCUGUAUUCAUCCAUAAGGAUGAAUUGAUCCAUUUUUUGUUGUAUUUCAAAGUUAGUUGUAGACAUCGUAUACUUUACCCCUAAAUACUUUAGCAUGCAUACCACUAACUAAAGUUCAAUAUCUAGUUACAGCUUUUUAGGUAAAAUGUACAUACAGUAAAAUUGUGUAAUCUUAAAUUUACCAUUUGAAGAAUUUUGACAGAUUCAAAUACUUGUGCAAACCAAAAUCCUGUCAAAGUGAAGAAAAAUACCAUCACCCUAGAAAGUUCCUUCAUGCUCCUUCCUAGUCAUUUCCCACUCUAUAUCCAGAAACAACUGCCAUUCUGAUAUUUUCCCAUUGUAGAUUAAUUUUUGUCUCUUCUAGAACUUCGUAUAAUUGGGAUUGAAAUAUGUGUUUUUUGUAUGUAAGGCUUCUUUCACUCAGUAUAAUGUUUUAAAAAUGUAUCCAUGUUGUAUGUGUGGGUGUUUGUGGUAUACUCAAUAGUUCUUAUUGCUGAGUUGUAUUCCACUCUAUGAUUGUAUCACAGUUUAUUCAUAUUCUUGUUGAACUUUUGUGCUAUUUCCAAGUUUUUGGCUAUUAUGAAUAAUAGUGUCAUAAACAUUCUUGGACAUGUCUGUUUAUGAACAUCUGUUUUCAUUUCUCUGGGGUAACACCUAGGAAUGGAAUUGUUCAGACACAGUGUAUAGGUGUAUGUUCAGUUUUAUAAGAAACUGUCAAACCAUACCCAAAGGGAUUGCACCAUUUUACACUCCCAUUAACAAAGUAUGAGAGUUUCAGUCUCCCUACCUCUUUGCCAACAUUUGGUGCUGUCUUUCUGGCUAUAUAUCUCAUUACUGUCCCACAGUAUUUUUAAUUUACAUUUUUCUAAUGACUAAUGAUGUUGAUCACUUUUUAUGUACUUAUUGGCAAAACAUCUUUCUUUGUGAAGUAUCUGGUCAAAAUUUUUGCCCAUCUUUAAUUGGUUUGUUCAUCUUUUUAUUGUUGAGUUAUAGAAGUUCUUUUUUUUUUUGAGACAGACUCUUGCUCUGUCACCCAGGCUGGAGUGCAAUCUCGGCUCACUGCAACCUCUGCCUCCCGGGUUAAAGCAAUUAUCCUGUCUCAGCCUCCUGAGUAGCUGGGACUACAGGCGCAUGCCACUAUGCCCAGCUAAUUUUUGUAUUUUUAGUAGAGACGGGGUUUCACCAUAUUGGUCAGGCUGGUCUCGAACUCCUGACCUUAGGUGAUCCACCCGCCGCAGCCUCCCAAAGUGCUGGGAUUACAGGCGUGAGCCGCCGCGCCUGGCCGAGUUAUAAAUGUUCUUAGUCAUAUUUUUAACAGUGUCUUUUGAUGAGUAAGAAAAACAUUUUUGAUAACAUUUGUCAAUUCUUUUUCUUUUGCAGUUUUGCUUUCUGUGACUUAACAAAUUGUCUACUGCCAGGUUGGAAAUAUGUUUACAUAUUUAUUCUUUCUAGAAGCCUUAGAGUUGUAGCUUUUUAUAUUAGUUCUAGGAUUUAUGUUAAUUUUUGUUCAUGGUGGCAGGUAGGGGUUGAAGUUCAUUUAUUUCUUUUUCUGUAUGGAUAUCAAGUUGUUCUAGUGCCAUUUAUUGAAAAUGCAAAUGGUAUUUUCAACAGUGGAGGUCUUUGGCACCUUUAUUGAAAAUUAAGUGACCACUGUACGAGUAUUUUCUUGUAUCAAAUUACCACAAAUUUAGUGACUUAAAACAACACAAAUUUAUUAGCUUUUAGUUCUGUAGGUCAAGAAGUUCAGACCUCACUGAACUAAAUUUAAAGUGGCAGCAAUGCUGCAUUAUUUUCUAGAGGCUCUAGGGAGAAUCUGCUUCCUACUCAUUUAGGUUAAUAGGCAGAAUUCAGUUUCUUGCAUCUGUAAGUCCAAUGUCUCCAUUUGCUUGCUGGCUGUAAGCCAAGGGCCAUUCCCAGCUUCAAGAGGCUGCCACAUUCCUUGGCUCACGGCCCCCUUCCUCCAUCUCAAAAGCCAGCAAUAGAGGGUCAAGUCCUUCAAACAUUGCAUCUCUCUGAUCCAGCUGGGAAAGUGUUGGGAAAAAGCUGAGGGUUAGGAGAAGCUGAGGCAGGGCUUGCAUGUCUGACAUAAUGUAAAAGAGUCUUGGAACAUGUCCGGGGUCCAGGGUCUAAAACCCCUUGUGGCCUUUGGAACACCAAGCUCUAUGCUAAAGGGUGGAAGCCUACCAUCAUGCACCAUAAUCUAAGCCCAGGGCAUAAAAUCCCUUGUGGCUUGGAUAGAAUCCAGGGCUCAUGGCUCUGGAAUGUAUCUAGACUUGCUGGCUCCUUGCUCCUUGCUCUCCCAGGAUUGAUUGUAUCUUGAGUUAAAAGAAUCUGCUCUCCAUUAUCUCAAGUAGAGCAAAUGCUAAACCAUCACAGCUGUAAAUCAUGUACUUAAUGCAAUGUGCCCUUUUGACCUCCACAUUCUCACCACCUGUUUCUUUGUUGGAUUACCAAUAAAUAGCAUGGGCUCCCAGAGCUCGGGCCUUCGCAGCCUCUACGAUUGUGAUGGCCCCCUGGGUCCGGUCCCACUUUUCUCUCUCAAA
This is a long non-coding RNA of Homo sapiens (human), 11504 nucleotides long. RefSeq lists it as uncharacterized. The record is from RefSeq and is a predicted model, not a curated record. NCBI's taxonomy places the organism in Eukaryota, Metazoa, Chordata, Mammalia, Primates, Hominidae. The transcript has 2 exons.